Molecule: ribosomal RNA, 189 nt
Filed under: uncultured bacterium
Lineage: Bacteria
Description: partial 16S ribosomal RNA
Rfam family: Bacterial small subunit ribosomal RNA
Source: RNAcentral
GGAGGCGACAGUGGGGAAUAUUGCACAAUGGGCGCAAGCCUGAUGCAGCCAUGCCGCGUGUAUGAAGAAGGCCUUCGGGUUGUAAAGCACUUUCAGCGGGGAGGAAGGGAGUAAAGUUAAUACCUUUGCUCAUUGACGUUACCCGCAGAAGAAGCACCGGCUAACUCCGUGCCAGCAGCCGCGGUAAUA